Molecule: small nucleolar RNA, 107 nt
Organism: Magnolia sinica
Lineage: Eukaryota; Viridiplantae; Streptophyta; Magnoliopsida; Magnoliales; Magnoliaceae
Source: RefSeq, a predicted model, not a curated record
UAGCCAUGAUGUGGGCAAGCACUUAAAAGUUCCUUAAACCUUUCCCAGCAUUGAAAGAAAGUUUCUUCCAAUUUUUGUGAAAAGUUCAGGAUGAUCCUUCUAAGGGU